CUGUCAAUUGAUCCAAAGUUUAAAUGUAUUUUAGUAGCUGCUUAAUAAAGGACAUUGACCUAUUGCCAUAGCAUCUAUCCUUUUCGGUUUCUUAUUUUUCAAUAUUGAUUAACUUAUUCCUAAUAUCAAACAACUAUGUGACAUAUUUUAGUCUUCUCAGGGAAACAUAACAAAUGAAACUAUAUUAAGUGCAGGAGGUAAAAGCAGGUUCCCAUCAAUGAACAAUGAAGGAGAUAUUCUCACUGGUUUCCAAGAUCAAACCAAAGUGGUUUCCAAGAUCAAACCAAACCCCACAACCAUAUAAUUUACCACUGAUGGUGACAACAGAGGAUUUUAUUUAAUUUCAGCUGCUUCACUUGAAGUCAUCAUCUAGAUUUAAUAUUUGAUAAGAAAAAUGUAAUUCAGCAGAAUGUUUUCUCUCCUUCAAUGACUCAGUAGACAUUUCAGUGCCUACUCACCACAAAAAAGAGUGGUUUAACAAAGAACAGCCAUCAGAAGCUACCUAUUCCCUUAUAAUUAUACUGAGCAGAAAGGACUCUUUUUUUAGGAUAUGUUGCCAAGUAAUUAAUGAAGAUGACAAAUUGAAGACAAUUUUCUGGUUCUUGUCUUAAUAACAACUUGACUUUUGUUUUCACAACCCAAUGAUGCUGCGUAAAAUAAAACCAACAGACAGACAGAGAAUUAGGGCAACGCUAGGUUGCUUUUGUCCAUGAAAAAUAUUUAGGAAAAUGCUUCAUUUUUAUCUUGUCCUUCAUUCUGUCUCCUCCAUCCAUACAUGAAUUCAGUUUUAGAUAACUAAAUAGUAUUCAUUUUAAAUAUAUGCAGGAGUCCCCUGGCGGACUAGUGGUUAAGCAUCCAGCAUUGUCAGUGCUGUGGCUCCAGUCACUACAGUGGCAUGGGUUCAGUCCCUAGCCCAGAAAUUUCUUCAUGCUGUGGAUGUAGCCCAAACCAAAACAAACAAACAAACAAAAAAUGAAAGAUCACGGGGAGAGAGGAACUCAGCCCCCAGCUGUACACAAAUGAUUACAAUCUUGGUGUAAUAAGCCUAGGUGAUACCAGCAAGGGAUCCAUUCAGGUAAGGCCAGCACAAUUGCAGAACUGAACCAAGAAAUAGUUGUUGUAUGCCACUAAGUUUCAAAGUGGUUAGCUAUUUAGCAACAGAUAAUAGAUAAACUUCCUAUAAGUGAAUAUAAUUAAAUACAACAGAGAUAAAUGGGGGGAACUGCCUUGAGUCAAAUUAUCAGCUGCCUAGAAAUAUGAGAGCAUAACCUACUUAGAUAAAAGAUGACCAACAAAAUGGGGUUUUGAUUAAUCACAAGUGUGGAAAACACUAUUAAAAUGUCCACCCAAUAGCCAUUGUCUUUCUUUUUUGCUAUCAGAACCAUAAAUAUAUUUGUGUAUAAAAGUGAUCAAACACUUUUAACAUGUGCUUUCAAUUCUUUUUUUUUAAACAAUGAAGUAUUGAAGUAUAGUCAAUUUACAAUGUUGUAUUAGUUUCUGUAUUAGUUGUAUUAGGUUCAAUGCUGUAUGAUUAGACUCAUACAGCAAAAUAAUUCAAUGUAUAUUCUUUUUCAUAUUCUUUCCCAUUAGGGUUUAUGAUGGGAUAUUCAAUAUAUUUUCCUGAGCUAUACAGUAGGACUUUGUUGUUUAUCCAUGCUAAAUGUAAUAGUAUGCCUCUGCUAACCCCAAACUCCCAGUCCAUCCAUCUCCCUCCUCCCUCCUCCCCCUUGGCAACCACAAAUCUGUUCUCUAUGUCUGUGAUGAGUUUGUUUUCUGUUUUGUAGAUAGGUUCAUUUGUGUCAUAUUUUAGAUUCCAUAUGUAACUGAUAUAUACAGUAUUUGCCUUUCUCUUUCUGACUUACUUCACUUAGCACGGUAGUUUCUAGGUCCGUCCAUGUUGCUACAAAUGGCAUUAUUUCAUUCUUUGUUUAUGUGUGAGUAGUAUUUCAUUGUAUAUAUGUACCACUCAUCUCUUGAUGGACACUUAGGUUGCUUCCAUGUCUUUUUUUGUUUGUUUGUUUGUUUGGGUCACACCCAUGGCCUGUGGAGCUUCGCAGACUAGGGGUUGAAUAAGAGCUACAGCUGCUGGCUUAUGCCACAGCCACAGCCACAGCCACAGCAAUAUGAGAUCUGAACCAUGUCUGUGACCUACACUAUAGGUCAUGGCAACACUGCACCCUUAACCCACUGAGCAAGGUCAGGGAUCAAACCAGUGUCCUCAUGGAUGCUAAUCAGGUUUGUUAACCCUGAGCCAUGAUAGGAACUCCUUCCAUGUCUUAGCUAUCAUAAAAAGUGCUGCCGGGAGUUCCAGUUGUGGCUCAGUGGGUUAAGGACUCAGUGUUGUCUCCGUGAGGAUGCAGGUUUAAUCCCUAGCCUCACUCAGUGGGUUAAGGAUCCUGCAUUGCCACAAGCUGUGGUGUAGGCCGCAGCUGUAGCUCUGAUUCAACCCUUAGACCAGGAACUUCCAAAUGCAGCAGAUGCAGUCAUGAAAAAGAAAAAAAGAAGAAAAAAUAGUGCUGCUAUGAACGCUGGGGUGUGUUAUCUUUUUGAAUGAGAAUUUUCUCCAGGUAAAUGCCCAGGAGGGGUAUUUCUGUUCAAAUGGCAACUCUAUUUUUAGGUGUUUUUUGGUUUGUUUUCGUUUUUUAUUUUGAGGAGCUUUUUUGCUGCAACAGGGGCAUUCAGAAGUUCCCAGGCCAGGGAUUGAACCCACGCCACAUCAGUGACCUAAGAAGCAGCAGUAACAAUGCCAGAUCCUUAAUUCACUAGGCCACCAGGGAACUCCUCUUUUUAGUGUUGUAAGGAAACUCCAUAGUAUUUUCCAUAAUGGCUGCACCAAUUUACAUUCCCACCAACAGUGCAGGAGGGUUCCUUUUUCUCCACACCCUCUCCAGCAUUUGUUAUUUGCUAACUUUAUUUAUUUAUUUUUUUUAAGUUCUCUUUUGUCUUUUUUAGGGCCAAACCCAUGGCAUACGGAGGUUCCCAGGCUAGGGGUCUAAUUGGAGCUGUAGCCACUGGCCUACGCCACGGCCACAGCAACGCCAGAGCUGAGCCACAUCUGUGACCUACACAACAGCUCAUGGCAACACCAGAUCCUUAACCCACUGAUCAAGGCCAGGUAUCGAACCCGAAACCCCAUGGUUCCUAGUUGGAUUCGUAUCCGCUGCGCCACAACGGGAACUCCUAUUCGUAGACUUUAAUGAUGGCUAUUCUGACUGGUGUGAGGUGGUGCCUCGUAGUUUGGAUUUUCAUUUCUCUAAUAAUUAGUGAUGUUGAGCAUUUUUUUCAUGUGCCUGUUAGUCAUCUAUGUCUGUUUUUAGAAAUGUCUAUUUAGCUCUUUUGCCUGCAUAAACUAUUUAUUAACAAGCAGCACCGACACAUUUAUUUUUUCUUGGACACACCCACAGUACGGCCACGGAGGCCUGUGGUCUUGGUGUGACGGCCUUGGACAUGCAGUCCCCAGAAGUGAGGACGCAGUCUCCUUCAGUCACUCCAGGUCUUCACGGAGUUUGUUAUCCAGACCGUUGGCCAGGACCUGGCUGUACUUCCCAUCCUUCAUGUCCCUCUGUCUAUUUAAGAACCAGCCUGGGAUCUUGUAUUGGCGUGGAUUCUGCAUAAUGGCGAUUACACGUUUCACCUCAUCCUCUGUGAGCACUCCUGCCCUCUUGGUGAGGUCGAUGUCUGCUUUCCUCAGCACCACAUGAGCAUAUCUCCGUCCUACACCCUUAAUCACAGUGACAGCAAAGGCAAUUUUCCGCUGCCAUCGAGUACUCACAAAAUAUGCUGGAACUUCUUAGGGAUUUCUAGAGACAUGGCUGCAGCACUGGUGGCGUGUAGGCCUCCAGUGAAAGAGCCUUUUGCCUAUUUUUUUAGUUGAGUUGUUUGUUUUUGUUAUUGAGUUGUAUGAGCUGCUUGCAUAUUUUGAAAAUUAAGCCCUUGUCAGCACAUCAUUUGCAAUAUUUUCUCCCAAUCUAUAGGUUGUCUUUUCAUUUUGUUUAUGGUUUCCUUUGCCAUGCAAAAGCUUAUAAGUUGGUUUUCUGGUUGUUGGGGUUUUUUUGUUUUUUUGGUUUUUAUUUGUUUGUUUGUUUGUUUUGUUUUGCUUUGCUUUUUAGGGCUGCACUCAAAGCAUAUAGAAGUUCCCAGGCUAGGGGUCUAAUUGGAGCUGCAGCUGCCAACCUACCCCACAGCCACAGCAAUGCUAGAUCUGAGCCAUAUCUGCAACCUACACCACAGCUCACAGCAAUGCUAGAUCCUUAACCACCUGAGCAAGGCCAGGGAUCAAACCCACAUCCUCAUGGAUACUAGUCGGGUUCGUUACUACUAAGCCAUGAUGGGAACUACAAAAGUUUAAAAGUUUAAGUCCCAUUUGUUUAUUUUUGCUUUUAUUCCUAUUUUCUUGGGAAACUGAGUGGUCAACUACUUUAUACUCCAAAUCCCAGGAAGUGAAUCUUGAUUAGUUUACAUCAACUAUGGCAGUUCCCUUUCUCUUGCUUGCGAUUGGUUUAAGAAUAUGCAUUCAAAACAAUUCUGGCCAAAAUGACAUGGGGGUGAAUUUUCUAGCAAUAUGUAGGAAAGAUUUAUUUUGACCUUAAAAAUGGUGUCCAGGAGUUCCCAUCUUGGCUCAGUGGUUAACGAAUCUGAUUAGGAACCAUGAGGUUUCUGGUUCGAUCCCUGGCCUUGCUCAGUGGGGUAAGGAUCUGGCGUUGCUGUGAGCUGUGGUGUAGGUCCAGAUGCAGCUCGGAUCCGGCAUUGCUGUGGCUGUGGCAUAGGCCGGCAGCUGUAGCUCUGAUUGAACCCCUAGCCUGGGAACCUCCAUAUGCUGCAGGAGCGGCCUUAGAAAAGG
This 4840-nucleotide long non-coding RNA is filed under the name Sus scrofa (pig). RNAcentral describes it as "lncRNA (ENSSSCG00000046110.1)". The record is from RNAcentral. Lineage: Eukaryota; Metazoa; Chordata; Mammalia; Artiodactyla; Suidae.